GAAGCGCGCCAGACCGCCGCUGGCACAAGACCCGAAAGGGUGUGCUGGAGGAACGUCCGGACUGCACAGGGCAGCGUAGGAGGUAACACCUCUCCACCGACCAGCCGCCGGGUUCGCCCGGCGGCCCUAAGGUGAGGAUCAGAGCAACAGAGACGAGUCGGCCCGGGGCGACCCGGGCCGGGUGAAACGGGCAAUCUCUACGCGCAGCAACACCAAAUAGGCCAGCGUCGAUGUGGCUCCGCGGAGCUGGCGGGUAGGUGGCAUCGAGCCGGGUGGGCGACCCCCGGCCCAGAAGAAUGGCGGUCACGGUCGGGGCGACCCGGCCGCACAGAAUCCGGCUUAUCGGCGCGCUUCACAC
This 358-nucleotide RNase P RNA is filed under the name Hydrogenophaga crocea. RNAcentral's name for it is "Bacterial RNase P class A". It matches the Rfam family "Bacterial RNase P class A". From Rfam's summary of the family: Ribonuclease P (RNase P) is a ubiquitous endoribonuclease, found in archaea, bacteria and eukarya as well as chloroplasts and mitochondria. Its best characterised activity is the generation of mature 5'-ends of tRNAs by cleaving the 5'-leader elements of precursor-tRNAs. The record is from Rfam by way of RNAcentral. Lineage: Bacteria; Pseudomonadati; Pseudomonadota; Betaproteobacteria; Burkholderiales; Comamonadaceae.